RNAcentral lists this ribosomal RNA (505 nucleotides) under uncultured bacterium. RNAcentral describes it as "partial 16S ribosomal RNA". It matches the Rfam family "Bacterial small subunit ribosomal RNA", at positions 28 to 507 of the family's 1533-position model. The record is from RNAcentral.
GACGAACGCUGGCGGCGUGCUUAAUACAUGCAAGUAGAACGCACAGUUUAUACCGUAGCUUGCUACACCAUAGACUGUGAGUUGCGAACGGGUGAGUAACGCGUAGGUAACCUGCCUGGUAGCGGGGGAUAACUAUUGGAAACGAUAGCUAAUACCGCAUAAUAUUAAUUAUUGCAUGAUAAUUAAUUGAAAGGUGCAAUUGCACCACUACCAGAUGGACCUGCGUUGUAUUAGCUAGUAGGUGAGGUAACGGCUCACAUAGGCGAGGAUACAUAGCCGACCGGAGUGGAUGGGCAGCCACACUGAGACUGUGACACGGCCCAGACUGCUACGGGAGGCGGCAGGAGGGAAUCGUGGGCAAUGGGCGAAGGUCUGACCGAGCAACGCCGCGGGAGUGAAGAGGGUUGUCGGAUCGGAAAGCUCGGUUGUAAGGGAAGAACGGGUGUGAGAGUGGAAAGUUCACAGUGUGACGGUAACUUAUCAGAAAGCAACGGCUAACUACGUG